GACGAACGCUGGCGGCGUGCCUAAUACAUGCAAGUCGAGCGGACGGAUGGGAGCUUGCUCCCAGACCGUCAGCGACGGACGGGUGAGUAACACGUGGGCAACCUGCCUGUAAGACUGGGAUAACUCCGGGAAACCGGGGCUAAUACCGGAUAACUCUUUCCCUCACCUGAGGGAAAGCUGAAAGAUGGCAUCUCGCUAUCACUUACAGAUGGGCCCGCGGCGCAUUAGCUAGUUGGUGAGGUAACGGCUCACCAAGGCGACGAUGCGUAGCCGACCUGAGAGGGUGAUCGGCCACACUGGAACUGAGACACGGCCCAGACUCCUACGGGAGGCAGCAGUAGGGAAUCUUCCGCAAUGGGCGAAAGUCUGACGGAGCAACGCCGCGUGAGUGAUGAAGGUUUUCGGAUCGUAAAACUCUGUUGUCAGGGAAGAACAAGUACCGGAGUAACUGCCGGUACCUUGACGGUACCUGAACAGAAAGCCACGGCUAACUACGUG
RNAcentral lists this ribosomal RNA (498 nucleotides) under uncultured bacterium. RNAcentral's name for it is "partial 16S ribosomal RNA". It matches the Rfam family "Bacterial small subunit ribosomal RNA", at positions 28 to 507 of the family's 1533-position model. The record is from RNAcentral.